CCAAGUUUCGUUGUCAAAGCCAAGCUUUUUCCUGGCAAACAAUUAUAAUUAUUACUUAGGCAUGCCUAAUUGGUAAGACCAAACCAAACCAUCGCAUGCUUGAGAAAAGAAAUCAUGUCUUUGUUAUAAUCCUCCUCAUGUGAGAUUACAUAUGGCAAAAUUGGUAACAUUGAAAAAAGAAAGGGGAAGGGAAGAAAAUUAAAGAAAAAGUUUCAUGUUUGUGGGGUUUGUCCUAAUUGAUAUUGAUUGCUU
This 252-nucleotide long non-coding RNA is filed under the name Durio zibethinus. RNAcentral's name for it is "long non-coding RNA (DZIB_LNC002197)". The record is from RNAcentral. Lineage: Eukaryota; Viridiplantae; Streptophyta; Magnoliopsida; Malvales; Malvaceae.